This 985-nucleotide long non-coding RNA is filed under the name Sorghum bicolor (sorghum). RNAcentral's name for it is "long non-coding RNA (SBIC_LNC007869)". Lineage: Eukaryota; Viridiplantae; Streptophyta; Magnoliopsida; Poales; Poaceae. The record is from RNAcentral.
UAAUCCUUCAUAAAUCCUCGGCAGACUAGAUGAGAAAUGAUUACUUCAGUAUCUUCAAAUAGAAGAAUAUUUCUGCAGUCGUAGUAUGGCCAAUAUAUAUGCUUCGUCUUUGUUCUCAAAGCAUGGUUCUUAGCGGCAUCAACAAACCUAUGCACCUCAGGUAUAUAUGAUGGAUCUAGUCUUGAUAAGUUAUACAUCCAUAAGGACCUCUCCAUCAUGACCUGUUGAAAAGUUAGUAAAUUAAUUGAAAUAUUGUCUACGAAUAUUUGUUAUUAAAAAUAAAAGAAGACCUAACAAUUAAAUCAAAUUGAAAAAGGAAUCAUGGAAAUGGUGAGAGGAGAGGCAACAUCUUAAACAAGAGGGCACAAAAAUGCUUAUCGCGUAAUUAAAUCAAAUUUACAUAAAAAGUAACAUCCUAAACAAUAUAAUUUAAAAAACUAAAAAGAAAACUUACCUUUCUUAGCCACCUCCACCUCCUUCCAAGAAAUGAAGAUCAAAACCUCCACCCUUGUAUUUUGACCUGUUGAAAAGUUAGUAAAUUAAUUGAAAUAUUGUCUACGAAUAUUUGUUAUCAAAAAUAAAAGAACACCUAACAAUUAAAUCAAAUUGAAAAAGUAAAACAAGUAUCAAAAAUAAAGACAAAACCAUAAAUAUAUAUCUUUAUAUCACUAAAAUAAAUUUGACAAGGUACAAAAACACUGUUGAUUGAAACUAAAUAUAUUAUAUCACUAAAACAUUUGAGAAGGAAACAUGGAAAUGGUGAGAGGAGAGGCAACAUCUGAAGCAACCUCAUAUAUAAAAAAUGCUUAUCGCAUAAUUAAAUCAAAUUUACAUAAAAAAUAACAUCCUAAACCAUAUAAUUUAAAAAACUAAAAAGAAAACUUAUCUUUCUCUCCGAAGCAUGGAAACACCAUUCAUGGAAACUACUACAUAUAUAUUUCUUGGAUUCACAAAUUAGAGAAGUAAACAUAAAAAAGAAGAUAGG